CGGUCAAAGCAGCCUUUAAUCUAGGUGGCGGGACGGGUGACGGUAACGCGUGGGGAACCCUGCCCUGUACUGGGGGAUAACAGUGACGAAAUCACUGCCUAAUACCGCAUAAGCGCACAGCAUCGACAUGAUGCAGUGUGAAAAACUGAGGUGGUACAGGAUGGCUCCGCGUUGGAUUAGCCAGUUGGCGGGGUAACGGCCCACCAAAGCGACGAUCCAUAGCCGGCCUGAGAGGGUGAACGGCCACAUUGGGACUGAGACACGGCCCAGACUCCUACGGGAGGCAGGCAGUGGGGAAUAUUGCACAAUGGGGGAAACCCUGAUGCAAGCGACGCCGCGUGAAGGAAGAAGUAUCUCGGUAUGUAAACUUCUAUCAGCAGGGAAGAUGAUGACGGUACCUGACUAAGAAGCCCCGGCUAACUACGUGCCAGCAGCCGC
RNAcentral lists this ribosomal RNA (438 nucleotides) under uncultured bacterium. RNAcentral's name for it is "bacterial SSU rRNA". It matches the Rfam family "Bacterial small subunit ribosomal RNA", at positions 69 to 518 of the family's 1533-position model. The record is from RNAcentral.